GUAGCAGUCGAAGCAUAUUGAAUCAUGAAGAGUUAAUGGAAUUGUACGUAUGUCAACAAAGCAUUAUUUUAAUUCAUCAUCUGUCUCCUCCUCCUCGUCCACCACCACGGCCUUUCUCUAUGAGCUAUCCUCUCCUCUCCUACCCCCGAUUUCCACUCCAAUGGCCACCCACAACCGCCAAAACCAUACCCUCAACGGCGACCACUGCGACUCUACCAUACCCAUUACCAAGAGGCCCAAACUUUCUUCACCGUCUCCCACCUCCUUUAUCACUCACUCCCAAAUCCAAUCUGAAUUCUCCCACCAUGACUUAUCCGUCGCUCGCAUCAACAACGGCAGCUUCGGCAGCUGCCCUCAGUCUGUCAUCUCCGCUCAGCAACGCUGGCAGACCCAGUUCCUCCGCCAGCCUGACCACUUCUACUACAACCAGCUCAAGCCUGGUAUCCUCCACUCUCGAUCCAUCGUCAAAUCCUUAAUUAAUGCUGACCAAGUCGACGAGGUCUCCCUCGUCGACAACGCCACCACCGCUGCCGCUAUCGUCUUGCAGAAAUCUGCGUGGUCCUUCUCCGAAGGUAGAUACAACAAAGGCGAUGUUGCUGUAAUGCUUCAUUAUGCUUACGGAGCUGUGAAGAAGUCCAUUGAAGCUUACGUCACGCGCGCUGGUGGGCAUGUGAUCGAAGUUCAGUUGCCGUUUCCGGUGAAAUCGAAAGAGGAAAUCAUUACCGAAUUCCGGAAGGCUUUGGAGAAAGGAAAAGAGAAUGGGAAGAAAGUGAG
This 774-nucleotide unclassified non-coding RNA is filed under the name Hevea brasiliensis (rubber tree). The record is from RNAcentral. Lineage: Eukaryota; Viridiplantae; Streptophyta; Magnoliopsida; Malpighiales; Euphorbiaceae.